CUUUAUUAAAUUUAUUUAAUUUUCAAAUUUAAAUUUAUCUUAAUUAAUAUAUACACUUGUAAACUUGUCUUUGUUUAUUUUAAUUAAUUAAUUAAUUAUUAUUUAUGUUAUGUUGGGAUUUUUUUUUCUGACUUUAUUUCUGCCGCUUGCCAAGGACGUAAACGUUUUUCUAAAGUCAGGCAAUUUUGGAGUACUAUGGAAGGACAUAAUAACAACUCGCAUGCUAUUCAUACUAUUAUUGACAACGAGAAUUUAAUUGAGUAGUAGGUUCCUAGAUGGAUGCAACUGGAUAUAUCAAAAAAAUGUUUUUUAUUGUAAUUCCAGUAUAUAAUUAAGAUAUUCAAUUUAUAAAUGAUAAUUGUAAUGAAGUUAUAGAUAAAUAAAUAUUUGUAAUAAAUUAUAAAUAAGUAUUCGGGUGCUUAUAAAUAAUCUAUUGUUGAUAAUUUGUGUAUUAUAUUAUAAUGGAAUUCAGUUUUGUAGUUAUGUAUUUUAGAAAAAUUUUCUUGGUAUAAGGAAUGCAAUAAAUGUAUAUUUAUAUAAUAUUUA
Cotesia glomerata is the source of this 546-nucleotide long non-coding RNA. RefSeq lists it as uncharacterized. The record is from RefSeq and is a predicted model, not a curated record. The transcript has 2 exons. NCBI's taxonomy places the organism in Eukaryota, Metazoa, Arthropoda, Insecta, Hymenoptera, Braconidae.